This 83-nucleotide transfer RNA is filed under the name Candidatus Pinguicoccus supinus. It matches the Rfam family "tRNA". From Rfam's summary of the family: Transfer RNA (tRNA) molecules are approximately 80 nucleotides in length. The record is from Rfam by way of RNAcentral. Lineage: Bacteria; Pseudomonadati; Verrucomicrobiota.
GCCUAGGUGGCGAAAUUGGUAUACGCUGAGGACUUAAAAUCCUUUACUUAAAUAGUGUGUGGGUUCAAGUCCCACCCUAGGUA